UACUGGUUGAUCCUGCCAGUAGUCAUAUGCUUGUCUCCUAUAUUAGGCCAUGCAUGUCUAAGAGUAACCCCAGUAAGGGGAAGUCUGCGAAUGGCUCAUUAAAUCAGUUAUAGUUUAUUUGGAUGUGGGCUUGCUACACGGAUAACUGUGGCAAUUCUAGAGCUAAUACGUGCUAAGUCCCCAACUUCGCGGAAGGGGUGUAUGUGUUAGGUAUUCAACUGGCUUGCUGGUUGAUUCAUAACAACCUUAACUGACCGCAUAGCCUUGCGCUGGCGGCGUCGCAUUCAAAUUCCUGAUCUAUCAACUUGAAGGUAGGAUAGAGGCCUACCUUGGUUGUAACGGAUGACGGGGAAUUAGGGUUCGGUUCCGGGGAGGGCGCCUGAGAGAUGGCGACCACUUCCAAGGAAGGCAGCAGGCGCGCAAAUUACCCAAUGCUAAUACAGCGAGGUAGUGACAAUAAAUAACAAUGUCGGGGCCUCAAAGCCUCGGCAAUUGGAAUGAGCACAAUUUAAAUCCCUUAGCGAGGAACAACUAGAGGACAAGUCCGGUGCCAGCACCCGCGGUAAUUCCGGCUCUAGUAGCGUAUAUUAAAGUUGUUGCGGUUAAAAAGCUCGUAGUCUGACUUCGGGCUGGGCUGUGAAGGCUCACCGCAAGGUGGGACGGAUAGCCUGGCCUUACCCUCUGAUGUGCUCUCUGCUCUUAACUGAGUGGAUCUGUCGCACAGAGGCGUUUACCUUGAGCAAAUUGAGGUGUUCAAGGCAGGCAUAAUCGCUCGUACACGUUAGCAUGGGAUAAUGAAAUAGGGCCUUGGGUUCGCUGUUGCCGGUUGGUGAGCCCGGGCAAUGAUCAACAGGGGCGGUCGGGGUGCUUCAUAUGCAGGCGCUAGAGGUGAAAUUCUUGGGCCGUCUGCAGAUGCCCAGAUGCGAAAGCGUUGCACCAGUACGUCCCCAUUGAUCAAGAACGAAAGUUAAGGGAGCGAAGACGAUCAGGUACCGUCGUAGUCUUAACCCUAAACGAUACCGACCAGGGAUCGAGGAUAGUCCCAUGGUUGACUCCUUCGGAACCUUGUGGGAAACCACGAGUCUUUGGGUUCUGGGGGGAAUAUGGUCGCAAGGCUGGAACUUAAAGGAAUGACCUUC
This 1139-nucleotide ribosomal RNA is filed under the name Filamoeba sp. COHH 88. RNAcentral's name for it is "bacterial SSU rRNA". It matches the Rfam family "Eukaryotic small subunit ribosomal RNA", at positions 1 to 1161 of the family's 1831-position model. The record is from RNAcentral. Lineage: Eukaryota; Evosea; Variosea.